UACAGAGGUCUCAAGCGUUGUUCGGAUUCAUUGGGCGUAAAGGGCGCGUAGGCGGCCUGGCAAGUGGAAGGUGAAAUCCCUCGGCUUAACCGAGGAACUGCCUCCCAAACUGCUUGGCUUGAGACCGGGAGAGGUGAGUGGAAUUCCCAGUGUAGCGGUGAAAUGCGUAGAUAUUGGGAAGAACACCAGCGGCGAAAGCGCGCUACUGGGCCAUUACUGACACUCAUGGACGAAAGCUAGGGGAGCGAAAGGG
Molecule: ribosomal RNA, 253 nt
Filed under: uncultured bacterium
Lineage: Bacteria
Description: partial 16S ribosomal RNA
Rfam family: Bacterial small subunit ribosomal RNA
Source: RNAcentral